GCACCAUUAGCUCAGUCGGUAGAGCAACUGACUCUUAAUCAGUGGGUCCAGGGUUCGAAUCCCUGAUGGUGUACCA
This 76-nucleotide transfer RNA is filed under the name Fastidiosipila sp. Its description in RNAcentral is "tRNA-Lys". It matches the Rfam family "tRNA". Rfam says of the family: Transfer RNA (tRNA) molecules are approximately 80 nucleotides in length. Their secondary structure includes four short double-helical elements and three loops (D, anti-codon, and T loops). Lineage: Bacteria; Bacillati; Bacillota; Clostridia; Eubacteriales; Oscillospiraceae. The record is from RNAcentral.